Molecule: transfer RNA, 63 nt
Filed under: Ernobius pini
Lineage: Eukaryota; Metazoa; Arthropoda; Insecta; Coleoptera; Ptinidae
Description: tRNA-Glu
Source: RNAcentral
AUUUAUAUAGUUUAAGAAAAACUUUACAUUUUCACUGUAACAAUAAGAAGAACUUUAUAAAUA